GAUGAACGCUGGCGGCGUGCCUAAUACAUGCAAGUCGAGCGAACAGACGAGGAGCUUGCUCCUUCGACGUUAGCGGCGGACGGGUGAGUAACACGUAGGUAACCUACCUAUAAGACUGGGAUAACUUCGGGAAACCGGAGCUAGUACCGGAUAAUAUUUCGAACCGCAUGGUUCGAUAGUGAAAGAUGGCUUUGCUAUCACUUAUAGAUGGACCUGCGCCGUAUUAGCUAGUUGGUAAGGUAACGGCUUACCAAGGCAACGAUACGUAGCCGACCUGAGAGGGUGAUCGGCCACACUGGAACUGAGACACGGUCCAGACUCCUACGGGAGGCAGCAGUAGGGAAUCUUCCGCAAAGGGCGAAAGCCUGACGGAGCAACGCCGCGUGAGUGAUGAAGGUCUUCGGAUCGUAAAACUCUGUUAUUAGGGAAGAACAAACGUGUAAGUAACUGUGCACGUCUUGACGGUACCUAAUCAGAAAGCCACGGCUAACUACGUG
RNAcentral lists this ribosomal RNA (497 nucleotides) under uncultured bacterium. RNAcentral's name for it is "partial 16S ribosomal RNA". It matches the Rfam family "Bacterial small subunit ribosomal RNA", at positions 28 to 507 of the family's 1533-position model. The record is from RNAcentral.